RNAcentral lists this ribosomal RNA (253 nucleotides) under uncultured bacterium. RNAcentral describes it as "partial 16S ribosomal RNA". It matches the Rfam family "Bacterial small subunit ribosomal RNA", at positions 524 to 776 of the family's 1533-position model. The record is from RNAcentral.
UACAGAGGGGGCAAGCGUUGCUCGGAAUUAUUGGGCGUAAAGGGUAGGUAGGUGGUCUCAUUUGUCCGGGGUGAAAGCCUUGAGCUUAACUCAAGAAGUGCCCCGGAAACGGUGAGACUGGAGUCUUGGAGAGGGUCGUGGAAUUCCCGGUGUAGCGGUGAAAUGCGUAGAGAUCGGGAGGAACACCAGAGGCGAAAGCGGCGACCUGGACAAGUACUGACACUCAACUACGAAAGCGUGGGGAGCAAACAGG